GCUUCUCCUGCCAAAAGACCAGCAAGCAAAACAAACAAAGUUACUAUAUUAGCAAGAAUAAUAGAACUUGAUUAUCAUCAAGAGCUAGGAAUGCUACUACCUGAUGGGGUUAAGAAGAAUUAUGUCUAAACUUUAAGAUAGUCCUUGGGGAAUCUCCUGGUGUUACUGUCAUGCGCGUCCAUGUGAAGAGAGUCCACCAAACAGGCUUUGUCAUUCACCAGGGCUUAGAAGACCCUGUGGCACCUGAAAGUGAAUGUGCAAUUGGAUUGGAGUUAUGCUGCAACAAUUAGCUGCUCAAUUGUGUGUUUAUUACAUAUACCAAGAUCACUUAAAUAACACUACAGGUCUUCCUCAAUGGUGAUUUUUAUUCUGAUGGAGAAGACAUGCCUGAAGUGUAUUGAGCAGAAGAGUGACAAGAUCUGACUAACCUGGUAAGAUUACUCUGGCUGUUGUUUUGAGAAUACUUGGAGCGGAGAUAAGUAGUGAAGCUGAUAUAUCAACUUAUAAGCUUUUUACUAAUCCAGGUAAGAGAUGAAGGUAGCUUGAUCUGCAGUGGUGGCAGUACAGAUGAGAAGAAGUGGUUAAAUUUUGUAUAUAACUUGAAGACAAAGUGGGCAAGAUGAUCUGAGUGAUUGGACUGGGAGUGUGAGAGGCAGAAAGGGGUCAAUGAUGACUCCAAGGUUUUAUAUGAACAAUUGGAAAAAUAUUACGUUCUUUUUGUCUUUUUCUCCUUUUCCUUUUUCUUUCUUAUAGUUUGAGGCUUAUCGUUUGACAACAACAAAUGAUCAGUUUAUCUUCUAGAAAGUAGAUUGUCAACAAUUUAUAAAUGAAGAGUCUGCUAGUCAGUGAUAAGCAAAGGACUCUGUGUGGGAACUGGAGGGAAGAAAGACCCUCAAUCAUGUUCUAAGGCCAGUAUUUAAGAAAUAUUCAUAAAUAUGUUUUAAAAAAUUUUCCAGGAGUCAAAUGAUACAAUGUUAAUGGAAGGAAUUCAUUCUUUGUCUGCUCAAAAAUCCAUUUGACAAUACUUCUGUCUAUAUUCAGGCUCCAGUUUUUGUAGGUUAAAUUGUAACAACAUUUGUUGGCAUACUCAUUCUCCAAACACCAUUCUUAGUACUCUAUUGGGUGUAGUAGAUCGCCCAGGGUCUCCAGCUUGCAGGCAGACCACUGUGGGACUUCUUAGCCUCCAGAACUGGUAUAAGCCAGUUUCCCUAAUUCAUCUUCUCUCAAAUAUCUAUCCAUCUCUCUGUAUAUAUCCUACUGUUUCUAUCUUUCUGAAGAACCCUAAUGCUUGUUCCUUGUGUAUUAAUAUGUAUUAGUAUGUAUUAUUACUCAUACAUGCUCCAGGUUUAGUAUGUUUUUUUAUUUAAAAAAAUUCAUAAGAUUGAAGGCUGCAUUAUUGAUUUGCCAUCUUUCUUCUUUUUAAAAAUAGGCCUGUAAAAUCUCCUUCUGAGCACUGCUUCAGCUGCAUUCUAUAAAUUUUUGUAUAAUUUGUUUUCAUUUUCAUUUAUAAUUUCAUUGAAAACAAAAACAAAACACAUCAUAUAGUAUAACCAUUCCAACUCUCUUUUGGGCAUUUUAUGAAUGGUACAUCUUUUUUAAUCCUUACUUAUUUGUGUCUUUGAAAGUAAAUUUUGUUUCAUUUAUCCAACAUCUAGUUGGAUCAUAUGUUUUUUAAACUAAUCUUCCAAUCUCUG
Molecule: long non-coding RNA, 1694 nt
Filed under: Homo sapiens (human)
Lineage: Eukaryota; Metazoa; Chordata; Mammalia; Primates; Hominidae
Description: HSALNT0301654
Source: RNAcentral